CCUAACCUUUCAAUUAAAAUCUCUUUUCUCUCUUCUUGCUCGUUGUGAGACUCUUGCUUCGGCUCAAGGUUUCAUAUCCAGAUUAUUGAUGAUCAGGGUGGAUUUAAUCAGCCAUGGGUCCCCAGAUUUUAGAAGGCACUAUCAACUUCUUCUAGGCAGGCUGAGAAAGAUUUGGAGCAAUCAUUGGCAAGUAAAACUGUUUCUUAUGUCAUUGAGGACGAACAUUUUGAAGUUGAAAGUCCAGAGCAAAUAAAGUUGGACUCUUUAAGCUCUCCUUCUCCCUUGUAUCACGGCGUCUUGGCUGUGAUGUUAAGAGAGAUAGACAACUGUUUCUGCUGACAUCUCUUCCAAAAUGGAAGCAUUUUCUUCCAAAUUGCAGGAUUCAUCAAAACCUGCAUUUGAAAUGUUUACUUUCACUAUUUCUCAGCUACAAUUACUUGCCACUAUUUCUAGAGAAUUCAAUGAUCCUUUUACCUCAAGGUUCAGAGAUUUUGCCCACUUCAAGUGAGCCUAUUGAUUCAGCUGCAGCUGUGGCAGGAAAGAUGCUAGAAGAUGGAUGUUGUUGCUCAUCAAUGUCCCAAAGGAAAUACCACAGCUUGUCAUGACUCCACGCUUAAAAAUGUGCCUUCCUAUAUCUUGCAUAUUGCUUGAACCUGUUUCUGAGUUCCGUUCUCAUGGCAAUAACAAGGUUGUUAGAUAAACCCCAUUCCCAGUUGAAAUUCAUAAUUCAAGUGACUCACAUACUUCUGAAUCCUUUGGAAGUGAAUAUCUGGGGCUUUGGCUUUGAAAUGUCCUGAGCCUUUAGGGGCCAGCAUGCUUAUAGAUCAAGAAUUGGGAAGAAUGGCAUUAAACCUCACCAGAUUGGUCAUUCUUUCCUCCUAAAAGUUGUGCUUUGUUGGAACACUGGAUGAGAGGUCAAUGGACAACACUUUGUAUUUCAGGAAAAAAAAAAAAAGAGGUCAAUGGACAAAACUGGCAACAAUUGCAACUUGUCAAUCAUUCAUGAUUUGGUUCAGCCUAUGGAGAAGUCUCUAUUUGAAGCAAAUAAUACUACUGGUGAUUGUCCGGUUUCAGCUUCACAAAAGCUUCAGCGCUUUAUGAUUUAUGUGCAUGAAAAGGGAAUAAUAAUUGAUGAUGUAUAUGUUAUAUUGGGGUCAGCCAAUAUAAACCACCCUCUUUGGCUGGUUCAAGAGACACAGAGAUUGCCAUAGGCGCAUAUCAACCCCAACAUACAUGUGGUCAGAAGAAAAGGCAUCCACAUGGCUUUGUUCAUCAUAUUCAUACUUCCAGUUUAUCUGAUCAUAUACCAUACUGCAAGCAUUAAAGUUGUGAUUUCUACUCUCUAGGAUGUCAAAGAGCGAGAAGCAAAUUUAGCAUACCUUGUUUUUGAUUAAGCAUUUAGCAUAGGCUGGUUUUGAUUGAGCAUUUAGCAUCAGUCCAUGUCUAGGGCCAUUACAAGUAGUGAAAGAAAAAACAUGAUCAACUCAAGUAAUUACUCUUAUCACAAGGCCUAUUGGAGAUCUUUCUUGAAAAGUAGUCUGAUCAGGUGGCUUCUUUGCAUUUACAGGUUUUCGGGUACCGAAUGUCGCCGUGGGUAGAACACACGGGGAUGGUGGAUAAUCUGUUCAAGGAGCCUGGAAGUUUAGCCUGUGUGAGUGUGAACAGGAUUGGUGAGGAUAACUGGGAAAAGUUCACCAACAAUGAUUUUUCAAAAUUGCAGGGGCACCUUCUCAAAUACCCACUUGCGGUAGAUAAAAAUGGCAAAGUAAGUCCUCUGCCUGGAUUUGAAACAUUUCUUGAUGUUGGCGGCAAGGUACUAGGAGCUCGUACAAUUCUUCCUGAUGUUCACACUACUUAGGCUCUAAGUUUCUCCAGUCUGAACAAUUAUUGGAAUUCGAUUUCAUCCAAAUUGUAAAAAGAAGGGCAAAUUGUUGUCUCCUAUUAGAAACAUAUGCCUGGUGACACCUACCAAAAGGACGCAAGGGAACCAGAAAGCACAAUUCGGACAAGCAAAUGGCCAGGUGAGAAUACUCUGAAGAAGGUGGACUAGGUUUGAAGCAGCAUCUACUUAUGAGUUUCACUGUAAUGCCCCUACAUUCCGAAAGACUACCAAGAAAGGAUUCCCUGACAUGCUGGACGAGGGUUCUUGUGAUGGAGAAAGUUCACUGCUUGCUGUUAUAAGAUAACGAACCAUUUCGUGUAUUCUUUGUAUUUCUAGUUGAUCAUACCAACUAAAAUAAACAUGUAAUGGUGCAGCUUUUAGUUCAAGAAAAUACAUUUUUGCAA
This is a non-coding RNA of Carica papaya (papaya), 2286 nucleotides long. NCBI's taxonomy places the organism in Eukaryota, Viridiplantae, Streptophyta, Magnoliopsida, Brassicales, Caricaceae. The record is from RefSeq and is a predicted model, not a curated record.